This is a long non-coding RNA of Oreochromis aureus, 315 nucleotides long. NCBI's taxonomy places the organism in Eukaryota, Metazoa, Chordata, Actinopteri, Cichliformes, Cichlidae. The record is from Ensembl.
CGGGUGAGAUGGAUAUCAGAGUGCAGGAGCCCAGGAACAGAUCCAAGACCUGAAACAUAAGGAGAUUGGAAAGAAAGCCGUCGUGAAAUCUGGAGGGAACCUCCAGGUUUCCACGCUGGUUGUGACGGACACUUACAAGCGGGUGAGAUAGAUAUCAGAGUGCAGGAGCCCAGGAAGAGAUCCAAGACCUGAAACACAAGGAGAGUGGAAAGAAAGCGUUGUGCAAUCUGGAGGGAACUUCCAGGUUUCCACGCCGGCUGUGACGGACACUUAGAAGCAGGAGAGAUGGAUAUCAGAGUGCAGGAGCCCAGGAAC